RNAcentral lists this long non-coding RNA (892 nucleotides) under Capsicum annuum. Its description in RNAcentral is "long non-coding RNA (CANN_LNC014766)". The record is from RNAcentral. Lineage: Eukaryota; Viridiplantae; Streptophyta; Magnoliopsida; Solanales; Solanaceae.
UAUUGGGAGAAAUCAUUAUGGAUGUUAUUGUGUUAAUGACUUGAGAAGAGAGAUCUUCUAUUUAUAGAGCUACAAAACUCUUCCUCUAAUAAAGAAUAAACCUAAUAGAAAUCUAAUAGGAAAGAGAUCUUUUCAUACCAAGAAACUUUUUCCACUAAGAAAUCCUUUUCGAAGUAAAACACAGUUAUGGUAGAAUCCAAGUAAGGUAGGAAAUUUAGGACAAAUCCUAACAAAUCUUCCCUUGGCCUGAAUUUUCUGGAAAAUCAAUCUUGAUCUUCUUCUUCACAUAAUCUUCAUAUAUCACCGCUGCUUACCAUAAUUAAAAAUUAAUAUGGGUUAAAAUUGAAGCCCUAUAUGUUAAAAAUAACAGCACGGAUUGAUAUUAUUGGAGUCCUAUUUUACAAGUAAGAAGGAUUGAAAGUGGAGCCUUGUUCAUUGAAAGAGAGCACAGGUUAAGAGUGGAGCUCAUGCGUUAAAAAAAAAUACAUAGGUAGAAAGGAGACCACGCAUUAAAAGUAAGCCGAGGUUGAAAUUUGGAGCCCAUAAACAUGAGUUAAAAAUUGAUUUUGUUUUAAAGAUGGAUUAGCAACGAGAUUUGUUUGAAACUUUUCUCCACAUGUAGCUAGAUAAAGAUCUUCAUUAUCAUCAAAUUGGUUGCAACUUUGAUCUCAACAUGUUCUCAAUCCGAAUCAUCAGACCAUUGAACUUAUCUCUGAUUCCACUUGUUCGGUUCGAAAUCAAGAGGACGUGCUAAAUUUUGCAAACUAUAGAAAACAAUAAUUCAGAUGACAAAGAAAAAUAUAGUACAAUAAAAACAUAUUAUUGAUAUGGUUGGUCAAAAGACCUACAUUGAAAUAUUAAAAAAAUAUAAAUUCUAUUGGGAGAAAUCUCC